GUCGAGCGGUAACAUUUCUAGCUUGCUAGAAGAUGACGAGCGGCGGACGGGUGAGUAAUGCUUGGGAAUAUGCCUUAUGGUGGGGGACAACAGUUGGAAACGACUGCUAAUACCGCAUAAUGUCUACGGACCAAAGGGGGGGAUCUUCGGACCUCUCGCCAUUUGAUUAGCCCAAGUGAGAUUAGCUAGUUGGUGAGGUAAUGGCUCACCAAGGCGACGAUCUCUAGCUGGUUUGAGAGGAUGAUCAGCCACACUGGGACUGAGACACGGCCCAGACUCCUACGGGAGGCAGCAGUGGGGAAUAUUGCACAAUGGGCGCAAGCCUGAUGCAGCCAUGCCGCGUGUGUGAAGAAGGCCUUCGGGUUGUAAAGCACUUUCAGUAAGGAGGAAAGGGAUGUAGUUAAUAACUGCAUUCUGUGACGUUACUUACAGAAGAAGCACCGGCUAACUUCGUGCCAGCAGCCGCGGUAAUACGAGGGGUGCAAGCGUUAAUCGGAAUUACUGGGCGUAAAGCGUUCGUAGGCGGUUGAUUAAGCAAGAUGUGAAAGCCCAGGGCUCAACCUUGGAACUGCAUUUUGAACUGGUCAACUAGAGUACUGUAGAGGGUGGUGGAAUUUCCAG
Molecule: ribosomal RNA, 621 nt
Filed under: uncultured bacterium
Lineage: Bacteria
Description: bacterial SSU rRNA
Rfam family: Bacterial small subunit ribosomal RNA
Source: RNAcentral